GCCAGCAGCCAUAUCACCCCGCAGCUCAUAACUGGCAAACCUCUGAAACUAAGCAGGUGUGAGCCUGGUCAGUACCUGGAUGGGAGACCUCCUAGGAAAAACUAAGGUUGCUGCUGGAA
Molecule: ribosomal RNA, 119 nt
Filed under: Lepisosteus oculatus (spotted gar)
Lineage: Eukaryota; Metazoa; Chordata; Actinopteri; Semionotiformes; Lepisosteidae
Source: RNAcentral